RNAcentral lists this long non-coding RNA (610 nucleotides) under Homo sapiens (human). RNAcentral's name for it is "non-protein coding lnc-PPP1R42-1:2". The record is from RNAcentral. Lineage: Eukaryota; Metazoa; Chordata; Mammalia; Primates; Hominidae.
GGCUACAAACCUCCUGAUGAAGGACCUUCUGAGUACCAGACUAUUCCACUUAAUAAAAUAGAAGAUUUUGGUGUACACUGCAAACAAUAUUAUGCCUUAGAAGUCUCAUAUUUCAAAUCCUCUUUGGAUCGCAAAUUGCUUGAGCUGUUGUGGAAUAAAUACUGGGUGAAUACGUUGAGUUCUUCUAGCUUGCUUACUAAAGUUGGAAAUAAUACCUAAACCUACUUCUUGACAUGGUGUCAAAACAGAGCUUUUGCUGAGAGUUUGAUUUAUAAAGAAAUUAUGGUUCGACUGACCUUGGAUCUAAUUGCCAGAAACAGCAAUCUUAAACCCCGAAAAGAAGAAACCAUUUCACAGUGCCUGAAGAAAAUAACUCAUAUAAAUUUUUCAGACAAAAAUAUAGAUGCAAUUGUAUCUGGGAGGCAAUUACAUUGCUGUCAUAGAAGGUUUAGAAGGAUUAGGAGAACUAAGAGAGCUUCAUGUUGAGAAUCAGAGGCUUCCCCUUGGGGAAAAGCUUCUGUUUGAUCCAAGAACUCUUCAUUCUCUGGCAGUAAGUUCACAUUUGAAUAUUUUGACAAGGAAUAUAGUGAUUAACAAGUUAUAAUGAAAC